Scylla paramamosain (green mud crab) is the source of this 1976-nucleotide long non-coding RNA. RefSeq lists it as uncharacterized. The record is from RefSeq and is a predicted model, not a curated record. The transcript has 3 exons. Lineage: Eukaryota; Metazoa; Arthropoda; Malacostraca; Decapoda; Portunidae.
UACCUCGCGCCUGGCGGACUGCGGCAGCCAAGUUGCCAACCAUUCAUUACUCAUUUUUUUAAUCAGUAAUGCUAAUGUAUGUGGAUCAAAAGACUAAAGAGUUUAUAGGCAUUAUAAAUAUUCGUUAAUUUCGAUGACUUUGCCCAGAGGUAUAUACAAAGAUCGGAAACUUAUUCUUUAAUUAGAUGACAAAAAUAUCUAAGUGAUAUCUUUGAGAGAAAAUACGUGUACCUACUUUAUGACGAAAGCAUAUAUAUUAACCCAACCACAUUCCAAAGUAGCCCAAAAAGUCGCAAGUCGCAGACGUCAAAAUUUAGUAGCGCAGCACAUCAGAAAGUAGCCCAAUUUGCGAUUAGUAGCCCAAUCCGGCAACACUGGUCGCGGCGCGACUCACGGGCGCCGCUGGUCCCACAGUUGCCAGUUCGCCAUAUACAUAUACAUAGACAUCCUACACCAGCUGAUAUUUAGUGGGAUGGAGCAGAACAGUCACCACCAGCCAGCAUGACAUGUAAGGCAGAGGUGUAGAGUGGAGAGGACCACGGCGGCCCGCGGCGCACUGGGCAGCUGCUGGGAAGCUGCCUCGGCCUGCCCCGCCGGCCGCUCCGCGCUCAGUUUAGAGAGAGCAACUGAAUAAUCAUCCUGGGAAGGCAUGUUGCCAUGGUGACGGUGGUGGUGGGCAUGAUACAGAUGCAGGAGGUGGAGUUUGUGCCCGAUGGAGACAUGCAGGUGGACAAAUUGUGUUGGUCAUUGGUCAGACUGGAGUUUACAUGUGUACCUCCUUCACCAUCAUUGGUGGACACUUCACCAUGAGUGAUGCUUGAGCUGUCACGGUGCUGCUGCUGCUGUCUGCCAUCAUCCCCCUGACACAGACCACCCUGCAGACAUCUUCAUCCUGGGUGCCACACAUUUAUGGUAUCAUUCAAAAUGUCCUUCAAAGAAACCCCUUUGUAAUCCAACACACUUAGCCCAUUAAUCCUUCCAUUUCUCAUCAAUUUGUUCAACAUUCAUAUUUUUCCCUUAUAGGGUUGAACAAUUUUCAUGGGUUCAGAGCAAAAGGCUUCCUCAUUUUUCCCCAAGGUAUUCUCGGAUGGUAAGCAGGUUUGACUCUGGAGCAAACCUGACCAAGGGCUACUGCCCAAGGCUACAGAGGUUCCUCUCCCUGAGGCUGAAUGCACCAUGUGAGAUGGUUCUGUUAUGUGGAUGAAUGUCAUGGUGGAUAGCAGUGCCACCACAUUCCUACAAUCAUCCAUCACUCCACUGCUCAAACGCUUCUGCAACCAAUGAUAGGUAUGCUGCCACAUUCUGCAUGGUCUCCUUGGCUCUCAGAUAAGGAUACUGUCAACAGGUUUGUGAUUGCCAAAAAAUCAUAAGGAGCUAUGUCUGAAAAGUCCAGAGAGAGAGAGAGCGCGAGAGAGAGAGAGAGAGAGAAAGAAUGAGCAAGAGAAAGAGUAGGAUGAAGCAAAGGAAGAGUCAAGAGAGAGGAAGAGAGAGUAGGACAAGAAAAAACAGAACAAAUAAAUCCCCUACACGUCUUGUCUCCAUUCACACAAGCCAUGAAAAGCUUGUCCAUCCCUGAGUGCUCAGAAGCAGUGUUCCACUGAUGAUGUGGAAACUUGAGACACCCAAUCAUUUAAUGGGCUUUAGUAGGUUUUGUCACCAGUCUUCUGUGUGUCACUGACUACAUUUUGAAAUUUUUAUGUUCUAUUUAAUUUUGUGUGUAUGUACACAAUGUUUAUGGUCAAUAAACUAUUUAUAAAACUAUUUAUCUGUGUGAGUAAGAUAAAAGCAGUUAUUGUUAUUAUUAUUAUUAUUAUUAUUAUUAUUAUUAUUAUUAUUAUUAUUAUUAUUAUUAUUAUUAUUACACAUUUUCCUCCUUGUAUUUAAAUAUUAUUAUUAUUAUUAUUAUUAUUAUUAUUAUUAUUAUUAUUAUUAUUAUCAUGAAUUGUUCUUGUUUAUAAAUAAAAUACUGUAACUGA